AGAAUAGAAUUUUCAUAAAGUAUUUUUUUUUUAUAUUAGAGAAUAAAACAAAAAAAAGGAAAAGAAAUUAGAGAGAGAGAAGUGAUUGUGGAAUGUGGAGUAGGGCUUUGGAUUCCAACAUAACAACUCUGGAAAUUGGUGAGAGAGAAUAUAAAAAGAAUAAUUAUUUAAUUUAAGAUAAAAAAUGGAAUAGAGGGAGUAGUAUUAUAUUAUAGAGUGUGGGAGAAGGGUAAUUUGGUCAUUUCAGUUGAGGAAUGGGAGCCAAUGGGCUUGGAGGAUUCUUUUGCAUAUACCCAAGAUUGUGAUAAGAAUGAUAAUGAUAUAAUCAUAAUUGAUGGUGACAUAAUGAGUUAAUGAGCACUAAUUAGGCAUAUUUCUUUUAUUUAUUUAGAUAAUAUAAAUGGUUUGUUUGAUAAUAUUUUUAAAAAUCAUAGAUUAUUUAAACCAUAUCCUUUAUAAUAGAUUUAAAUUUAUAUGAAAGAGGUUUUUUUUUUCUUUGCCAUAAUUACAAAAUUCAAAAGCCUAAUACACUAGCCAUACAUAAAAAUAUUAUUUGAAAAAAAAAGGCAAUUAUUUAUAUGCUUCUAAAAAAUUUCCGACUUCCUAAUUUACUCCUUUUAUAAAGUAAUAUUAAUGUUUCAAAUUAUUUCAAAUAUACCUCUAAAGUUAAAUUCUGUGAAUGAACGAUUAGCGAUAGUCGUUAUCUCUAUGAAAUUACUAUUUUGCCCUUUCAAAUAUAUCAUUCUAUUAUUACUAACUUUUCUUAUUUGUCUUUAAAUUAUAGAAAAAAUAUUUUAAUUUUUUAUCUUUUUAAAUAUACUCCUCUGCUAACACCAACUUUUCUUAUUUACCUUUAAGUUAAGGACAAAAGAGGUAGUUUGAUUUUUUAACUCUAAUAGACAUUUAACUCACGUUUAAUUGGAGAUAACUUAACGAAUGGUAACUGCGAGAAUAUUUUUGUUAAAAAAAUUAAUUCAUAUAAAAUUAGAUUAGCCAC
RNAcentral lists this long non-coding RNA (997 nucleotides) under Ananas comosus (pineapple). RNAcentral describes it as "long non-coding RNA (ACOM_LNC015674)". Lineage: Eukaryota; Viridiplantae; Streptophyta; Magnoliopsida; Poales; Bromeliaceae. The record is from RNAcentral.